CCCGGUUGUGAUGUCAGGUGCUCUAGACGACAAAACCAUUAAAAAACCUCUUCAUAUGUACCAAAAUUGAAAUUUCGUGUUUCCGCCAGAGGCGCGUUUUGCACUUCUUAUGCUUAAUGCUUGAAUUGUAAACUUCAUAGGAAAUGUAAUUCUAACGUUUUAAACAACUUCUUUACGUUUCAUUUGUAUAAUUCGUAAUGCAUAUUGG
RNAcentral lists this long non-coding RNA (208 nucleotides) under Mytilus galloprovincialis (Mediterranean mussel). Lineage: Eukaryota; Metazoa; Mollusca; Bivalvia; Mytilida; Mytilidae. The record is from RNAcentral.